AGCGGCGGACGGGUGACUAAUGCUUAGGAAUCUGCCUAUUAGUGGGGGACAACAUCUCGAACGGGAUGCUAAUACCGCAUACGUCCUACGGGAGAAAGCAGGGGAUCUUCGGACCUUGCGCUAAUAGAUGAGCCUAAGUCGGAUUAGCUAGUUGGUGGGGUAAAGGCCUACCAAGGCGACGAUCUGUAGCGGGUCUGAGAGGAUGAUCCGCCACACUGGGACUGAGACACGGCCCAGACUCCUACGGGAGGCAGCAGUGGGGAAUAUUGGACAAUGGGCGCAAGCCUGAUCCAGCCAUGCCGCGUGUGUGAAGAAGGCCUUAUGGUUGUAAAGCACUUUAAGCGAGGAGGAGGCUACUUUAGAUAAUACCUAGAGAUAGUGGACGUUACUCGCAGAAUAAGCACCGGCUAACUCUGUGCCAGCAGCCGCGGUAAUACAGAGGGUGCAAGCGUUAAUCGGAUUUACUGGGCGUAAAGCGCGCGUAGGCGGCUAAUUAAGUCAAAUGUGAAAUCCCCGAGCUUAACUUGGGAAUUGCAUUCGAUACUGGUUAGCUAGAGUG
RNAcentral lists this ribosomal RNA (559 nucleotides) under Acinetobacter sp. RNAcentral describes it as "bacterial SSU rRNA". It matches the Rfam family "Bacterial small subunit ribosomal RNA", at positions 94 to 648 of the family's 1533-position model. Lineage: Bacteria; Pseudomonadati; Pseudomonadota; Gammaproteobacteria; Moraxellales; Moraxellaceae. The record is from RNAcentral.